GUAUUAAGUUGCGUUCAAGGUGGCAAAAUCCCACUACGCGUAUUAUCAGCACCGUGUUCUUAAAAUAUAUAGAAAAGUGCGUGGAAGUAUUAUGUUAUAAUUUUAGGGACAGAUAUAUUUUUUUACAUAGUAGGAGUUUCAUUUUGUAGGAGCUACAGUGUUUAGCCACUUCUAAUGUAAACACACUGGAACCUGACUGAGUUGCAUAAUCGCGACAGAUAUUGAAUGUAGCACAAUUGAGGCUGUUCGAAUCCCUCAGUGCCACCGCUAGUGGUAAGCGCACCGAAAACCCAAACAAACAUCGAUAGCCCUGCCAUUAGAGUUCUGUGGCUACGAAGAGGUGUAAUCCGGUCCAGUUUGUUCCAGUACAAUACCCGUGAGCAUCAGCAAGAAUAUUGCACUGCAAGGGGAGAAAGAACAUUUGGAUAUACCCACUUGGGGAAAUUUGGAUGUCUGAUGUUUUUUUUACCUUAUUUUUUUCCCUCUGAAGAAGUUGAUUGGUCUCUCUUGAAGAUUACUUUCGGACAAGCUUAAACUACUAUCACAAAGACAUUUGAUCUUGCAUAUCUAUGAAAUCAGAGCUACAUAUUAUUUCUGCUUCAGACUUUAAACCAUUACUAAUUAAAUGGGCAUCUUACAAAUGUCAUAGUAAAACAUAUGAAAAUAGAAACAGAACCAUAAUGUAUCAUUCCGCAGCAUUUAUAUUUCACUAACCCAAACUGAAAAUGACGGCAAUGUAACAUAGGGCUUUACUUCCUUCAUUGUCAUGUGACUUUGAACCUCUUGAGCAUCAUUUUCUUUAAACCAAGACAGUCUCCAGAAAUUUAAUGAGGUGAGCAGUGGUUUUUAGUGACCCUCCAUCGCCAAUAAAAGACUGUCUAUGAUUUUUUUUUUCUUUACUGCAUGCGUUUACCUAACUCUUAAAAUGAUUCGGUAGAAGGUCAACACAAAACGAUACUGGCACACGGUGUGGCAGGACAACACCUGUCUCUUUUCCCCCCCAUCUGGUGUCAACAGUGGAAUUGUGACACAAACUGCUGUCCAUGUUUCAGGGCAAACAACUUUCACAGACUAUUUCCAUAUAUUAAUAUUUGGACGGCCUGGCUCUUCGUCAUUGUUGGGACAAAUCACUGAUCAACUGUCAGAUCAGUUUAUUUUGCCAAUCAGCAUUAAGUCCGUGAGUCUCACCCAUGUCAAUAGGAGCAAAUGGUUCUAUUGAAUUAAAGGAUUCAGUUUGCUUGGACACAAGCU
This is a long non-coding RNA of Parambassis ranga (Indian glassy fish), 1251 nucleotides long. Lineage: Eukaryota; Metazoa; Chordata; Actinopteri; Ambassidae. The record is from Ensembl.